This 274-nucleotide ribosomal RNA is filed under the name uncultured bacterium. RNAcentral describes it as "partial 16S ribosomal RNA". It matches the Rfam family "Bacterial small subunit ribosomal RNA", at positions 523 to 796 of the family's 1533-position model. The record is from RNAcentral.
AUACGGAGGGUGCAAGCGUUAUUCGGAAUCACUGGGCGUAAAGGACGCGUAGGCGGGUUGGCAAGUCAGAUGUGAAAUCCUACAGCUUAACUGUAGAACUGCAUUUGAAACUGCUAACCUAGAGUAUGGGAGGGGGAGAUGGAAUUAGUGGUGUAGGGGUAAAAUCCGUAGAUAUCACUAGGAAUACCGAAAGCGAAGGCGAUCUCCUGGAACAUAACUGACGCUAAGGCGUGAAGGCGUGGGGAGCAAACAGGAUUAGAAACCCCAGUAGUCC